GUUAAGUCCCGCAACGAGCGCAACCCUUGUCUUUAGUUGCCAUCAUUAAGUUGGGCACUCUAGAGAGACUGCCAGGGAUAACCUGGAGGAAGGUGGGGAUGACGUCAAAUCAUCAUGCCCCUUAUGCUUAGGGCUACACACGUGCUACAAUGGGUAGUACAGGGGGUUGCCAAGCCGUAAGGUGGAGCUAAUCCCUUAAAGCUACUCUCAGUUCGGAUUGUAGGCUGAAACUCGCCUACAUGAAGCUGGAGUUACUAG
This 258-nucleotide ribosomal RNA is filed under the name Clostridioides difficile. RNAcentral describes it as "partial 16S ribosomal RNA". It matches the Rfam family "Bacterial small subunit ribosomal RNA", at positions 1079 to 1338 of the family's 1533-position model. The record is from RNAcentral. Lineage: Bacteria; Bacillati; Bacillota; Clostridia; Peptostreptococcales; Peptostreptococcaceae.